GAUAAAAUACCUUCCCUUAGCCUACUAUUUUUUCCCAGUGGAUGAAAGGUGAGUGAAAAAGUAAAUUGUAAACUAGUAAGGUCAGAUACAAACUUGCCAAAUAUUUUAUUACUGAAUGGUUGUCUGUAAUGUACAGUUUUGGAGAGAUGAUUAAUGCCGGGCUACUCAAAAUAAAACAACUCAUCAUUGUUUCUUUCAAACUGGAAAUCCAAAUUAAUUAUGUUCAUGAAAUUUUUACAGAAAUCAAUGCAGAACAUUGUUUAAAUCUGAACACCAUAUUCAUGUUUAUAACAUAAGUUCCAGCUAUGAACUGUUUCCUUUAUUAAUUACACUUGCGAGAAACUGUAUACAUAAAGUACAACAUUGAGGUACUUGGCCUAUUGCUUUUUAAACUGUUGAGGUUAUUUCCUUAAUAUUCCCUUUAGCCUUUACAAUUGAAUCUUGUUUUCCUUAUAUAGUACACCUCAUGCCCUUUGGCAUAAUUGCCAAAGCCAUUUUCCAUGGUUGAAUUAAUGGCCUCUUGAAACUAUCACUCUAUCUCAAGAAGACAUUUCCCCCUUGUUUAUGAUAUUGAACACCACCAACAAAUUGCUUUUAAGCAACUGAUUUCAUAUAUGUGUGUGUGUAUAUAUAUAUAAUUAUAUAAUACGCAUAAUUGGUAUUCAUAUUUUACAUAUGAAAAAUAUGAAAACAGUCAUGCUUUUAAGCAACUGAUGAUUAUAUAUAUAAAUAUGUGCACAUAUAUACAUAUUUGUACCCUCACCUAUAUAAAAAAAUAUUGAAAAUAAGUAAAAUCAGCAUCUCAUCACAAAUUAUUUUCAGGUGAGAGGAUAACUUUUCUACAUUAAUGUUUUCUACAUUCUAUUUUCUACUAGUUCUAUGUGAUAAAUAACUUCCAGGUGAAAUCUAUAAAAUUGAUAUACCUAGAUACCACGCUUAGUGCUUUAAAAACGUUUCUAUCCAGGCCUUCUAGCAUUGUGAACACAUAGGUUGUGUGUUGUGUGUGUAUUAACAGGGUAUGUUAUAUAUGUGUGUGUGUUACCAUGAAACAUGUUCAUUUAUCACUAAUAAAAAUAGUUUUUAAGAAAUCCCCCCCCCAAAAUCAUGCUUGGUAAGUCAAUGAAGUGCAAGAAUAAAACCAGAGUCAAACUCAUUUUUAUUAACUGAGAGAUGUGCAUAAAAGCUUGUGUGCUGUGUAGGAAAAAAACAAGUGUAAAAUUUGUUGUAACUUUAAAAUUCAGUGGAACCUCACUGCAUGACUAGUAUCACAUUGUAGACAUUCUGAAUUUUAGGGAGAGAAAUGUUCCAUAGUUGAUACAAGGGAAAUACACUUGAUUCAUAUUAUAAGUGUAUUUUUACAAGAUUUUGUUGCAAAGCUCAAGAUGCUAGUAAUAGCAAUACAUAGGAUAUACUUCAUAUGCUGGUACUUGGAUAUUCACGUUGAUGUUUCAGAUAUGGGUGAAUUUUAAGAUGUGUCUAGAACAGAAUACCCUCAAAGGAUAGAUAAUUUAAAAGAUUAUGGCAACUUUCCUGUUUGUGUGAAUGGUGGGUGGUAUUGAUAGCCACAUGUAACUAAAAUUUAUAGUGUUUGAAUAAUAUUAACAUAUGCAAUUACUCAAUAUGAUGUGAUUUCAUUAAAUCAAACUCCUUAUUGUUUUGCCAAACACAGCUUAAAAUUGCUUUUAAAUAACAAAGAUACACAUUUCAUAUUUUAAUGCAUUGCCAUAUAGUCACACAUCUGAUACAAUUUGCACAGAGAAAGAUUUUAAUGUUUUUCUGUGUUUUAAAAACACUUCAAAUGAUUUUAAUGACAGGGUCAUUAGCUUUUAGCAGUUUAGAGUAAACCAUUCUAUUAUAAUUGAGACUUCUUAGAACUGUCAGACUUUUUCUAUUAGCUUUUAAAAGUUUAAUCAUUUUCUCAAAUUAAUUUCACAAUUAAAUCACUUCUCAAAUUAAUCAAAUCAGUUUCUUCUAAUACAAUCUCAGGAUUGUCAAACUUUUUUAAUCAUAAGAACAAUGUUUCUAGAUACAUAUGUGAAGUUCACAUGUAAAAUCUUUCUUAAUGUAACACUCAUCCUUCCUCAAGAAGAGAAACCUUUUGUUUUCCUUCUUUUCCUUUCAUGGCAGUCAUAAACUGUAGUAAUUAUAUGGUAUACAAUAUGUAUAUUGUACACAGACUAUGUGCAUAUGUACAUUAUACAUAAUGCAUUUUAAUAUAUUAUUUUAUAUUACCAUUUGCUUAAAGAACAUUUCAUAGAAUGGUAGAACUGAUACAAUGACAUUUAUGUUUUUCUUAGGAUAUGCUGACUAAAUCCUUCCGCAGUACAUUACUUGCACAAUUAUGGCUUUGAAGAGAAGUCACAAGUUCUUAUGUUUUGCGUCAUGUUGUGGAAUGUACUUCAAAACAAAGGGAAAAGCACAUGACAUCAUGCUUCAUGGUAUGGCAUAUACGUAUCAAUCAUAUCUACAUAUAACUAUGUGGUGAAUGAUACAAUUAAGACCUAGACUACACAAUCUAUAGUUAUUACAAAAGUUGUAUAUUAUGCCACAGUACUAAAAAUAAAAUAUAUUCUUCUCAAUUAGUGAAAAUAAGAUAUCCUUCAUGUGUUUUAUGUCACAUACGUUUUCUCCUUUGCCCAUGCCUCUUUUUCUUCCCCACUGUAAAUGAAAUCAUGUCCAAUAUUUUAUUAAACAAUAAUGACAGACAAUUCCCGGGCCAUUAAGGCCUAAAAAAGAGGAAAAGACGAUUAUCUCGUCAUUAAUUGCACAAAUGCACUCCUGAUACGUUCAGUACACGGUAAAAAUAUAAAAAUAAGACACAAAUAAAUAUAAAUAUCUUCUCAGUUAUUGGGAAAUCCAAAGUCCAACUGUACCUUAUUAAGAAUACGGUCUUCGAUAUACCUCACUGCUGUAUCUUCAAUAGGUACAGCACCUAACUGGGUAUCAGGGGUAUCCCCCCCCCCGCCAUGUUGUGAGCCAUCAGCUGGGACUAUGCUUGGCCAGGAAUAUACCAAGGGGUUUUUUUUGGGUUCUCCGCAAGGGAGGGAGGGAUUCGAUCAUACCUAGGUGCUGCUCUCCCAGACCGCGCGCAGCAGUCUCCAGUUGCCGCUCGCCCCUACGGCUCCUCGGCCUCCGCCCAUCUUGGGAGACCGUGACCUGUCCAAGCGAGAGGCAGAGCUUUUCAGAGCACUUCUGCAUGCAUUGUUUGGUUUUCUCCUCACUACAUUCCUGUGAGACGGGCUGAAGUUUUCCAGGUGAAGAGAGGUUAAAAAGCACCUGAAUCCCAGAGCAAAUGGGGAAGCAGUGCUGGAACUGGAAUCCAAGGCUACUUCAAAAGUAUUUUUUUCUGUAUUUAUUUUUGAGAGAGAGAGAGAGCAAGCAUGCGCAUGAAUGCACGUGAGCACAAAUGGGGAGAGGGGCAGAGGGAGAAGCAGACUCCCCACUGAGCAAGAAACCGGAUGCGGGACUUG
Molecule: long non-coding RNA, 3470 nt
Organism: Zalophus californianus (California sea lion)
Lineage: Eukaryota; Metazoa; Chordata; Mammalia; Carnivora; Otariidae
Exons: 3
Source: RefSeq, a predicted model, not a curated record